ACAAAUUUGUUCAAGUUGUCCGCCGUAACCCCCCAAACUCACUCGUUCACCCCUGCUCCUCUUGGCCAUGUAUUGUAAAUAAAUGCAAUUUGCUACGCAAAAAAUAAAACUCAAGAAAAGACCUUUUGUGCUUGACUUCUGAAUCUGCCGCAGCUGAGCAAUUAUGUAAUUUUUAAUAGCCGCCAUCGGAGGCCAAAAGCGUGCUCACAAAACAUCGGCAACAAAAGUGCACGAAAUUAUGGUGGUUGGCGGAGUAUCCGAGUAUCCGACUUCAUCCGGCGUGACGCAUGACGCAUGCAUCGCUCCACGGAUUUGUCCGUACACUCACGUCCAUCGACUAACCCACUUCAGGACUUUUGCCGGCCACAUUUCACCCGCGGCCCACCCUACGUGUUAAUUGUGGCAACUGCUCUGCUGUGACUUCUGUCCAUUCGACUUGGCCACUUGUACGUGGGGCCAGCGGAAAAGCUGCAAAGAAAACUCGGAAAUAAAAUAUGACUG
RNAcentral lists this long non-coding RNA (501 nucleotides) under Drosophila melanogaster (fruit fly). RNAcentral's name for it is "long non-coding RNA:CR43913 (Dmel_CR43913)". The record is from RNAcentral. Lineage: Eukaryota; Metazoa; Arthropoda; Insecta; Diptera; Drosophilidae.